Molecule: ribosomal RNA, 468 nt
Filed under: uncultured bacterium
Lineage: Bacteria
Description: partial 16S ribosomal RNA
Rfam family: Bacterial small subunit ribosomal RNA
Source: RNAcentral
GACGAACGCUGGCGGCGUGCUUAACACAUGCAAGUCGAACGGAAAGGUCCUGCUUUUGUGGGGUGCUCGAGUGGCGAACGGGGGAGUAACACGUGAGUAACCUGCCCUUGACUUUGGGAUAACUUCAGGAAACUGGGGCGAAUACCGGAUAGGAGCUCCUGCUGCAUGGUGGGGGUUGGAAAGUUUCGGCGGUUGGGGAUGGACUCGCGGCUUAUCAGCUUGUUGGUGGGGUAGUGGCUUACCAAGGCUUUGACGGGUAGCCGGCCUGAGAGGGUGACCGGCCACAUUGGGACUGAGAUACGGCCCAGACUCCUACGGGAGGCAGCAGUGGGGAAUAUUGCACAAUGGGCGGACGCCUGAUGCAGCAACGCCGCGUGCGGGAUGACGGCCUUCGGGUUGUAAACCGAUUUCGCCUGUGACGAAGCGUGAGUGACGGUAAUGGGUAAAGAAGCACCGGCUAACUACGUG